RNAcentral lists this small nuclear RNA (107 nucleotides) under Notamacropus eugenii (tammar wallaby). Lineage: Eukaryota; Metazoa; Chordata; Mammalia; Diprotodontia; Macropodidae. The record is from RNAcentral.
AUGCUCUCUUCAGCAGCACGUAUACUAAAAUUGGAAUGAUAAAGAGGAGAUUAGCAUGGCCCCUGCACAAGGAUGACAUGCAAAUUCAUGAAACGUUUCAUAUUUUU